This 329-nucleotide unclassified non-coding RNA is filed under the name soil metagenome. Its description in RNAcentral is "partial contains 5.8S ribosomal RNA, internal transcribed spacer 2, and large subunit ribosomal RNA". The stretch from base 1 to 120 matches the Rfam family "5.8S ribosomal RNA", at positions 35 to 154 of the family's 154-position model. The record is from RNAcentral.
GAUGAAGAACGCAGCGAAAUGCGAUAAGUAGUGUGAAUUGCAGAAUUCAGUGAAUCAUCGAAUCUUUGAACGCACAUUGCGCCCCUUGGUAUCCCGAGGGGCAUGCCUGUUCGAGCGUCAUUUCACCACUCAAGCCUGGCUUGGUGUUGGGCGACGUCCCCUUUGGGGACGCGCCUCGAAACACUCGGCGGCGUGGCACCGGCUUUAAGCGUAGCAGAAUCUUUCGCUUUGGAAGUCGGGGCCCCGUCUGCCGGAAGACCUACUCGCAAGGUUGACCUCGGAUCAGGCAGGGAUACCCGCUGAACUUAAGCAUAUCAAUAAGCGGAGGA